CAGCCAGGUAGUCUAAUUUGGGAGGAUACUAGCUUUGGGGGCUUGGGGUCUUGUGAGAGCCGGUUGA
This 67-nucleotide transfer RNA is filed under the name Metagonimus yokogawai. RNAcentral describes it as "tRNA-Pro". Lineage: Eukaryota; Metazoa; Platyhelminthes; Trematoda; Opisthorchiida; Heterophyidae. The record is from RNAcentral.